This is a long non-coding RNA of Rosa rugosa (rugosa rose), 1171 nucleotides long. RefSeq lists it as uncharacterized. NCBI's taxonomy places the organism in Eukaryota, Viridiplantae, Streptophyta, Magnoliopsida, Rosales, Rosaceae. The record is from RefSeq and is a predicted model, not a curated record. The transcript has 4 exons.
GGAUAUGGGAGAGUUCAAACAUGGAGAGGCCAUGUGGAAGCCAUGGUAGGUGAUGUGAAUUUAUAUAUGAAUGACCUGAGGUAUUCUCCUUUUCCUAUCAUGUGUGCUUCUUCAAACAGUUUUUCAGGUCAGUUAGUAUGAUUACCUGACUCUGAGGCAUGGUUUUUAUCUCAGACAAUCACUAUUGUCUAAAGAAUAGUCUUUGCUUCCUCACUUUCUGCCUAGGAUUUCCAACACUGUCAAUGACCACCAGCUCAGUCAUAGAAAGAAUUGAAAGCAUCACAAGAUUGACAAAAAGCAUGCUUUGGCUGUUCAUUCGCAGAAGACCAGCAAAACCAAAGCUAUAAAACAAUGCAAUUUAUCUGGCUUCUGUUGGAUCAAAAGCACACAGUAUAACUGCUCUAGUAUACUCUUGAUAUUCCAACCUCUCUACGGCGUGCCUAGUGUUUUUUUCAAGAUCUCCUAGUCUUCUCGUCUGGCGGCGCUCAUCGGUGGUGGCCGGUUCGCCAUGCCGACUGGGCUGCUGCUGAAAGCUAUGCCGGUAGUCUCCUGAGUGCGGCGUGGCUCGAGGCUUUGUGCGGAAUGGAUGAUGAUGGAGCCUGGGUUUUUCGGAUUGUGUAGGUGGUGCUUGUCGACGGCUUCCAUGACCUAUGGCGGUGGGCAUCUUCGGCAGGGAAUCUCCUGGACCUAUGACGGCGUGGUGGCCAUGGCGGUUUUCCGGCAGAUUGGUGGGGCGGCGGGGCUUUGGUGGUCUGGAGGUGGGAGGAAGUGGCAGGCUCGGGUCAUCCUUUGGCUGCUGGACCCAUUCUCUUGGGACUGCUCUCUUUUGGGCUGGGGUGUUUUUGCCCUAGGUCCAUCCUAUGUUUUUUUAGUUUUUCUAAUUACAAUAAGGUUCCGUUUCUAGGGACAUUCUACGCACAUUUGUGCAUCUAGUUUUAGUAUUUAGUUUUGGAAUUUGGUCUGGUCUUGUCAACUUAAUUCUCAGUGGAUCUAGGUGUACACCAAUUGAGGUCUCUAGGCAGCUAGGUUUAUUGGUUAAAGAGUUAGGUUGGAAGGGCCGGAUCUCUCUAGUGCCUCCGGCGUAGUACCAAAGGGGGAUUCCCGCUAUGUCUACGUAUUGAUUGUACAAUGAGUGGGUCUGUGUUUCUAUGUACCGUUGUGGGUACUACCA